UCAGGACUCAAUAAAAUAAACAGCUGGAAAUAAGCAGACUACUGUAAGAGUGAAUUGAAAAGAAAACCCAAGGUCACAUCUCCCAAGAAGCAGUAAUGUUCCAGCAAUAAGAAAAGGACAGUUUUUUGUCUUUUGCAUGGUGAGCCUUAUAUGAAUUACAUCAAUUUUGUCACCAAUAUCCAUCAUCAGAACAUUUUGAUUCUACAUAACACAUUAUAAAAUGGUUACAACAAUCAAGACUAUAUCCAUAGAUGUCCCAGAAAUAAUAUCUGACUAUACAGAGCAGCAUUACCAAGCCACCAAGAAGUCUGCCUAGUAAUGACAAUGAUAACAACAGCUAACACUUAGUAAAUGCUUGUGAUGCAUCUGGCAUUCUUCCAGUCAACAGAGCAGAGGAACAGAGCCACAGAUAACUGAAAACCACUUUGGCACUGAGGAGGUAUGCAGACAAGAUCUGGAAGGGAAUCUAGAAAAAUGACAACUUUGGAAUAAUAGAUACCUUUUGUUUUCUUAUUGCUUUUAUUUUUGUGAUAAAUAUUAAGAGUAAAAAGAAAAUUCACAUUGUUUGUUCUGUGGUACUCAGUCAACUUAGGUUUUACUCAAUAGCAUGUUGUUAAUUAAUCUUCCAAAUUGUUGGGGUAUUUCAUAUGAAUUAGCCCCUACCCCCACCGUGUCCUUUCCCCAGACUCCAUUCCUAGAUAAUCACUUCUGUCAAUUCCUAGAUAAUCACUUGCCUUACUUGACAGAUUCAGAGGAAGCCAUCAGUUUUUUGGGCAGAAUGAAGGGACAAAUGGUGAACUGGUAUCCGGGAUGCUGCCUAGAACCCUGUCCAUUUAAGAAGACACCCAUGUGAUACGCAAUGCACAAAAAGCACUGGAACUCCCAGCAGGCAAGCACUGCAGUCUAUAAACCCUCUAUUGAGAAAGGCCAUUGCAUGUCUACCAGGGACACAGAUUUGGGAGGCAGAACACACGACAGGGUGAGGGUGAAAGGCAAUGGCUACCUGGCCACGUCAGCCAAACCAGCUCCAAAAAUCAAUGCGAUGACAGUGGCCACAGGCAGAUCACUCUCACCUUAUAACCUGGGAUGGCACAGACCAGACAGAUUAUUUCAUUUUGUUUUGUUUUUCAUUAUUUUUAUUUACUUUUUUGGAGAGAGGGUCUCACUCCAUUGCCCAGGCUGGAGUCCAGUGGUAUGAUCAUAGCUCACUGUAACCUUGAACUCCUGGACUCAAGUGAUAAACCUGCAUCUGUCUUCCCUGAGUAGCUGAGACUACAGGUACACACCACUAUACCCGGCCUCUCAUUUUGCUUAAUUUAUUUAAUUAGUCAACUAAUUUUGAGGGAGGGCAGAUUUUGGAGGUAAAGGGCAUAGACGGUUCUGUAGUGUGCGGAAAUCUGAAGCUUUGCUAAGAUGGGAUCAACAUGAAGCAUCUGUACAUGUAUAAUUAGCAAAUGUUACCUUGACUAACAGUAAAAUGAAGAAUUAAGGAAAUUAUGAGGUUAAUUUCCUUGAAGUCUCUCAGU
Pongo pygmaeus (Bornean orangutan) is the source of this 1526-nucleotide long non-coding RNA. RefSeq lists it as uncharacterized. The transcript is spliced from 4 exons. NCBI's taxonomy places the organism in Eukaryota, Metazoa, Chordata, Mammalia, Primates, Hominidae. The record is from RefSeq and is a predicted model, not a curated record.